RNAcentral lists this long non-coding RNA (222 nucleotides) under Paramuricea clavata. Lineage: Eukaryota; Metazoa; Cnidaria; Anthozoa; Malacalcyonacea; Plexauridae. The record is from RNAcentral.
GACGGCCAAAACAAACUCCUUCAAAUAAAUGGUAGUAAAGAUAGUUCGUCGUAUAUUAUCAAUCGUAUGAAUUUAAUACAGUUUUAGAAGUUGAAGACAUGGGUUUUAUGGUUGAGAAGAGUUCUACUAAACCCAGUUUGAAGCUGCACUUGUUGUGGCUUGGAAUGCAGCCGUUGUAUGAAGACGUGAAAAUCUGUGAUUUAGCGUCGUAAACAGAGCGAG